Molecule: ribosomal RNA, 468 nt
Filed under: uncultured bacterium
Lineage: Bacteria
Description: partial 16S ribosomal RNA
Rfam family: Bacterial small subunit ribosomal RNA
Source: RNAcentral
GACGAACGCUGGCGGCGUGCUUAACACAUGCAAGUCGAACGGAAAGGCCCUGCUUUUGUGGGGUGCUCGAGUGGCGAACGUGUGAGUAACACGUGAGUAACCUGCCCUUGCCUUUGGGAUAACUUCAGGAAACUGGGGCUAAUACCGGAUAUGCGCUCCUGCUCCAUGGUGGGGGUUGGAAAGUUUCGGCGGUUGGGGAUGGACUCGCGGCUUAUCAGAUUGUUGGUGGGGUAGUGGCUUACCAAGGCUCUGACGGGUAGCCGGCCUGAGAGGGUGACCGGCGACAUUGGGACUGAGAUAAGGCGCAGAAGCAGACGGGAGGCAGCAGUGGGGAAUAGUGCACAAUGGGCGGAAGCCUGAUGCAGCAACGCCGCGUGCGGGAUGACGGCCUUCGGGUGGUAAACCGCUUUCGCCUGUGACGAAGCGUGAGUGACGGUAAUGGGAAAAGAAGCACCGGCUAACUACGUG